RNAcentral lists this ribosomal RNA (490 nucleotides) under uncultured bacterium. Its description in RNAcentral is "partial 16S ribosomal RNA". It matches the Rfam family "Bacterial small subunit ribosomal RNA", at positions 28 to 507 of the family's 1533-position model. The record is from RNAcentral.
GAUGAACGCUAGCUGCAGGCUUAACACAUGCAAGUCGCGGGGCAGCAUGGGGGUUGCUUGCAAUCCCCGAUGGCGACCGGCGCACGGGUGAGUAACGCGUAUCCAACCUGCCCUUCACCACGGGAUAACCCGGCGAAAGUCGGACUAAUACCGUAUGUUGUCCAUUGACGGCAUCCGAUUUGGACGAAAGGUUUGGCGGUGAAGGCUGGGGAUGCGUCCGAUUAGCUGGACGGCGGGGUGACGGCCCAGCGUGGCGACGAUCGGUAGGGGUUCUGAGAGGAAGGUCCCCCACACUGGAACUGAGACACGGUCCAGACUCCUACGGGAGGCAGCAGUGAGGAAUAUUGGUCAAUGGGCGUAAGCCUGAACCAGCCAAGUAGCGUGCAGGAUGACGGCCCUAUGGGUUGUAAACUGCUUUUAUGCGGGGAUAAAGUGGCCCACGUGUGGGUUUUUGCAGGUACCGCAUGAAUAAGGACCGGCUAAUUCCGUG